ARGGAUUCCCCUAGUAACUGCGAGUGAACCGGGAAAAGCUCAAAUUUUGAAUCUGGCGGUCCUCGCGGCCGUCCGAGUUGUAAUCUAGAGAAGCGUCUUCCGCGCUGGACCGUGUAUAAGUUUCCUGGAAAGGAACGUCGUAGAGGGUGACAAUCCCGUCUUUGACACGGACUCCCAGGGCUUUGUGAUGCGCUCUCGACGAGUCGAGUUGUUUGGGAAUGCAGCUCAAAUAGGGUGGUAAAUUCCAUCUAAAGCUAAAUAUAGGCGAGAGACCGAUAGCGAACAAGUACCGUGAGGGAAAGAUGAAAAGAACUUUGGAAAGAGAGUUAAACAGUACGUGAAAUUGCUGAAAGGGAAACGCUUGAUGUCAGUCGCGUCGACCGGGGAUCAGUCUCGCUUAAUCGCUCGACGUACUUCCUGGCWGACGGGUCAGCAUCGGUUUYGACCGUCGGAAAAUGGCUCGAGGAACGUGGCACCUCUCGGGGUGUGUUAUAGACUCGGGUCGAAUACGACGUUCGGGACCGAGGGACUCAGCACGACCUUCGGGUUCGGGGCUUCGGCUCACGUUAACGUGCUUAGGAUGCUGGCAUAAUGGCCUUAAGCGACCCGUCUUGAAACACGGACCAAGGAGUCUAACUCGCAUGCGAGUGUUUGGGCGUUUAAAACCCGAGCGCGUAAUGAAAGUGAAAGUCGAGAUCUCUGUCGUGGAGAGCACCGACGCCCGGACCAGAGCUUUUGCGAAGGAUCUGAGGUAGAGCAUGCGUGUUGGGACCCGAAAGAUGGUGAACUAUGCCUGA
RNAcentral lists this ribosomal RNA (797 nucleotides) under Suillus sp. RNAcentral's name for it is "eukaryotic LSU rRNA". It matches the Rfam family "Eukaryotic large subunit ribosomal RNA", at positions 70 to 840 of the family's 3401-position model. The record is from RNAcentral. Lineage: Eukaryota; Fungi; Basidiomycota; Agaricomycetes; Boletales; Suillaceae.